UACGGAGGGGGCUAGCGUUGUUCGGAAUUACUGGGCGUAAAGCGCACGUAGGCGGCUUUGUAAGUUAGAGGUGAAAGCCCGGGGCUCAACUCCGGAAUUGCCUUUAAGACUGCAUCGCUAGAGUUGUGGAGAGGUAAGUGGAACUCCGAGUGUAGAGGUGAAAUUCGUAGAUAUUCGGAAGAACACCAGUGGCGAAGGCGACUUACUGGACACAUACUGACGCUGAGGUGCGAAAGCGUGGGGAGCAAACAGG
RNAcentral lists this ribosomal RNA (253 nucleotides) under uncultured bacterium. RNAcentral describes it as "partial 16S ribosomal RNA". It matches the Rfam family "Bacterial small subunit ribosomal RNA", at positions 524 to 776 of the family's 1533-position model. The record is from RNAcentral.